This 465-nucleotide ribosomal RNA is filed under the name uncultured bacterium. RNAcentral's name for it is "partial 16S ribosomal RNA". It matches the Rfam family "Bacterial small subunit ribosomal RNA", at positions 28 to 507 of the family's 1533-position model. The record is from RNAcentral.
GACGAACGCUGGCGGCGUGCUUAACACAUGCAAGUCGAACGGAAAGGCCCCUUUGGGGGUACUCGAGUGGCGAACGGGUGAGUAACACGUGAGUAACCUGCCCUUGACUUCGGGAUAACUUCAGGAAACUGGGGCUAAUACCGGAUAGGAAUCCUUGCUGCAUGGUGGGGGUUGGAAAGCUUCGGCGGUUUUGGAUGGACUCGCGGCUUAUCAGCUUGUUGGUGGGGUAGUGGCUUACCAAGGCUUUGACGGGUAGCCGGCCUGAGAGGGCGACCGGCCACAUUGGGACUGAGAUACGGCCCAGACGCCUACGGGAGGCAGCAGGGGGGAAUAUUGCACAAUGGGCGGAAGCCUGAUGCAGCAACGCCGCGUGCGGGAGGACGGCCUUCGGGUUGGAAACCGCUUUCAGCAGGGGCGAAGCUUGUGGUGACGGUACCUGCAGAAGAAGCACCGGCUAACUACGUG